This 280-nucleotide long non-coding RNA is filed under the name Nicotiana benthamiana. RNAcentral's name for it is "long non-coding RNA (NBEN_LNC009858)". Lineage: Eukaryota; Viridiplantae; Streptophyta; Magnoliopsida; Solanales; Solanaceae. The record is from RNAcentral.
CAACUAGUACUCUAGCAAAUGAGAUCUUCUCAAAGUGAGCUAUGAAUUUAUCUGUGUACAAAGGCUUACCCACUGCACUGGCUAGUUUGCUUAGAAUUUCAGGAGACCAGUAGCCCACUGGUAGACCUGGGAAUCGAAUCCAAACAGGUACAGUACUAAGAACAUCAUUUUGAAAAGAGAAGUCAACAUCCCAAGGUUUCAGCACCAUAGGUUUGUUCCUGUACGAGUAGGGUCCAGAUUGGAGAACUAAGUUUUUAUCCUCAACAUUAUUGAAUCGAAA